GACGAACGCUGGCGGCGUGCCUAAUACAUGCAAGUCGAACGAGAGCGACCGGUGCUUGCACUGGUCAAUCUAGUGGCGAACGGGUGAGUAACACGUGGGUAACCUGCCCAUCAGAGGGGGAUAACAUUCGGAAACGGAUGCUAAAACCGCAUAGGUCUUCGAACCGCAUGGUUUGAAGAGGAAAAGAGGCGCAAGCUUCUGCUGAUGGAUGGACCCGCGGUGCAUUAGCUAGUUGGUGAGGUAACGGCUCACCAAGGCCGUGAUGCAUAGCCGACCUGAGAGGGUGAUCGGCCACAUUGGGACUGAGACACGGCCCAAACUCCUACGGGAGGCAGCAGUAGGGAAUCUUCCGCAAAGGACGCAAGUCUGACGGAGCAACGCCGCGUGAGUGAAGAAGGUGUUCGGAUCGUAAAACUCUGUUGUUAGAGAAGAAUAAGUGCUAGAGUAACUGUUAGCGCCUUGACGGUAUCUAACCAGAAAGCCACGGCUAACUACGUG
Molecule: ribosomal RNA, 498 nt
Filed under: uncultured bacterium
Lineage: Bacteria
Description: partial 16S ribosomal RNA
Rfam family: Bacterial small subunit ribosomal RNA
Source: RNAcentral